GAACUGCUGGGAUCGCGCCAUGGCCUGGGCCCCUCUCCUCCUCGCGGUGCUCGUCCACGGCUCAGGUUCCCUGGUCCAGGCAGCGCUGACUCAGCCGCCCUCGGCGUCAGCGAACCCAGGACAAACCAUCCAGAUCACCUGCUCCGGAAUUGACAGCAGCAGUUGGAAUGAUGCUGGCUGGUUCCAGCAGAAGGUGCCUGGCACUGCCCCUGUCACUGUGAUCUAUCAGAGCAACAAGAGACCCUCGGGCAUCCCUUCGCGAUUCUCUGGAUCCAAGUCUGGCUCCACAGGCACAUUAACCAUCUCUGGGGUGCAAGCCGAGGACGAGGCUGUCUAUUACUGUGGUGGCUACGAUGGCAGCAGCAAUGCUGCCACGGUGACACAAAGCAAUGGGGAAGUGAGACAAAAACCUCCCGCCAUCGCAGGGGCCAGUGAGGAGUCUCUGCUGUCCCGGUCUCAUGGUGCGUGA
Molecule: non-coding RNA, 469 nt
Organism: Phalacrocorax carbo (great cormorant)
Lineage: Eukaryota; Metazoa; Chordata; Aves; Suliformes; Phalacrocoracidae
Source: the annotation of a RefSeq genome assembly